Molecule: ribosomal RNA, 541 nt
Filed under: uncultured bacterium
Lineage: Bacteria
Description: bacterial SSU rRNA
Rfam family: Bacterial small subunit ribosomal RNA
Source: RNAcentral
AAUAGAUACCCCGGUAGUCCUAGCAGUAAACGAUGGCUACUAGGUGUGGGGGGGUGUUGACCCCCUUCCGUGCCGAAGCUAACGCAUUAAGUAGCCCGCCUGGGGAGUACGGUCGCAAGACUAAAACUCAAAGGAAUUGACGGGGUCCCCCGCACAAAGCAGCGGAGCGUGUGGUUUAAUUCGAUGCAACGCGAAGAACCUUACCAGGUCUUGACAUCCCUCUGACGGGUAUAGAGAUAUAUCUUUCCUUCGGGACAGAGGAGACAGGUGGUGCAUGGCUGUCGUCAGCUCGUGUCGUGAGAUGUUGGGUUAAGUCCCGCAACGAGCGCAACCCCGUAUGCUUAGUUGCCAGCGGUACGGCCGGGCACUCUAAGGAGACUGCCGGUGACAAACCGGGAGGAAGGCGGGGAUGACGUCAAGUCAUCAUGCCCCGUUAUGACCUGGGCUACACACGUGCUACAAUGGCCGGUACAGAGCGCAGCAAAGCCGUGAGGUAGAGCGAAUCGCAAAAAGCCGGUCCCGAGUUCGGAUCGGAGGCUGC